RNA transcript from Dreissena polymorpha, 5208 nucleotides. It is a transcript of the gene named tumor necrosis factor receptor superfamily member 19-like, with no coding region annotated. Lineage: Eukaryota; Metazoa; Mollusca; Bivalvia; Myida; Dreissenidae. The transcript is spliced from 9 exons. The record is from RefSeq and is a predicted model, not a curated record.
GGUUCAAAAUAUUAACCUUAAGGAAGGCUAACCAUAUCAUUCAGUUUUAUAAAUUUGUCAAAUGGCAUGCAAGUUGGUUAUCAACAUUGAAAGGUUAAAUUUGAACGUAACCGAAGUUUAUCAAAUAACGCGACCAGCGGGCAAAUGUCGCUCAUUCCGUUGGCCCUGGCAGUGAUAAUAAUUCCGGUGACAAUCCAGGGCGGACCAAGACCCUGCCUCGAUAACACUAGAUACGUCGAAAUCCCAGGAAUCGCGAAGGGAGCGAAGAAGGGGCGAUGUGAGCAAUGCCCGGCGUGCGACGGGGGUGGGUUCGUCCUGAACAAGACACUCCCCAGGGAAUACAACGCGCGGUACGGAUUCCUGUCUUGUCAUCCCUGUGAGCCGUGUUCACCACGCUACUUCCGGGAGUCACACUCAUUUCCGGUUUGCAACCUGUGCUCCAAAAACUGUUCAGCGGUUAAUCGGUAUGAGUCUCAGCCGUGCGGCGGAUCUUCUCCAGGUCAUUGCGGGGAAUGCUUUCCCGGAUUUAAAGCAAUCUCAAGUUCUGCAGAAGUUAUGUGCGUCGAAAGACCGGAACUACCAAAACCAGACUUGAAAGAUGUCUCAGGGGCAGCGAAUAUGCCGGAAGUUUCUUUUGCUUCCGGGAGUUUGCAUGUCAAUGUCAGCGCAAACGCGCGUAUUGAUGCCAAUGCUAUUAUAGGUAUAAUUGGAAGUGUCCUAUUAGCAAUCAUGGCUGGAGGUGUUAUCAUCUGGUGCAAGCGUCGAAAACAUACGAAAACAUCCAGGCGCCCAACAAAAGUUUACCAAAUAAAGCGACCAGAGGGCAAAUGUCGCUCAUUCCGUUGGCCCUGGCAGUGAUAAUAAUUCCGGUGACAAUCCAGGUCGGACCAAGACCCUGCCUCGAUAACACUAGAUACGUCGAAAUCCCAGGAAUCGCGAAGGGAGCGAAGAAGGGGCGAUGUGAGCAAUGCCCGACGUGCGACGGGGUGGGUUCGUGUUGAACAAGACACUCCCCAGGGCAUACAACGCGCGGUACGGAUUCCUGUCUUGUCAUCCCUGUGAGCCGUGUUCACCACGCUACUUCCGGGAGUCACACUCAUUUCCGGUUUGCAACCUGUGCUUCAAAAACUGUUCAGCGGUUAAUCGGUACGAGUCUCAGCCGUGCGGCGGAUCUUCUCCAGGUCACUGCGGGGAAUGCUUGCCCGGCAAUCAUGGCAGCAAGUGUUCUCAUCUGGUGCAAGUGUCGAAAACACACGAAAACAUCCAGGCGCCCACCAACAGCCACUGCAGGAGCAAAUAUUGGUGCAAGUGCUGCUCGUCUGAUUCGCAGUGAUACUUCACUGGAAGGCGCUGUCGAAACGGAUGGAAUUGAAAAUGAAAACGUCAGAGGGGAAUUACAACAAGUGACGUUUAUCGACACACACCCAGGCCUAACCCACGGACGUUCUCCACUGGAAAAAUAACUUCCCAAACGUUAAAUUUGACAAAAACGAUAGAUUUACGAUAGAUUGUUUUAUGUGCCUGGCUAAAUAGAUCACUUCAAAUGAACGAAACGUCUUCUUUCACAUUCUUGGUCUCGAGGAAAGCGAUUAUUUGCCUGGGGAAGAACUCUGGAAAAUAAACUCGGCUAAUCAUCCACACACCAACUUUGUGUACGACGUAACUAUCCACACGCCGAUUCGCCAACACUUUGCGAAGCUCUCAUCAAAGCUGACUGUGAUAAUAUCGUUAAAGAGCUAGGUAAAAUUGUGACAAAUCAUGUUCACCACACACAACCAAAACAGGUUUCUUGACCUUGGUAGGUUUGUUCUGUUCAUGCAGUCUUUCUGAAUGUCAUCCAACUCGAUAUGAACAUGUUUGCGAAAGAUCUACACUAGAAGCAUUAUAUCUUAAUCAAAAAUGCGUUUUCGUGUGGUAUAAACAUUGGUUUUAUAUAUACGUACACAAAUGACACGUUGUUAAUUAUGUGUUUCAAAAUGUUUUCUGAAAUAUAGCACAGUCGGUGUUGAGUUUUCAGUGAGAAAAUUAUUAGAAAGUUAUGUGAGUUUCAUACAAAGAUUCGCAUUGAUGUACAUGUUUAUGUGCUUCGUUUUGUAUCCACCUUUUGUAUAAACCGUUUCUAUAAUCGUUUGUAUAAGUAACUGCUGGUUUGCUUUUAUUGUAUGUUGAAAUCCUUUAAGCACACAGCGGUACAGGUUUAACAAUUUUAGUUAGUAUCUGUCAGUGUCCGUCGUUGUUGACUCAUCACUCAUCAUUAAUAUACUUCAAAACAGUCGGAUUAUUAAUUGUUAAAUAAAGACUAACCAAGUUCACAUUCUAUGGAUACUUCUUGCAUGGAACAAGCACGCGUUUCAUUUGUUUAAACAGUCCCUUUUGUGAAUGGCCUUUCUGCUAAAGUAAGUUGUCUACAUAUGUUUGAACCCUUAAAAAUGCUCUUUUCAGUUUAGACCGGAAUUUGUGUUAAGUUUGAUAAUGCCUUUAUUGAUUUUUAACUAGAAAUGGCGCGGCAGAGGCCGACGCGUAUCCCCACGCCGAAUGUUUGACCCAGGGGCGCCCCAUGGUUGGUAAUGGGUCCAUGCAUAGUUGAGAUUGACCGUAUUGUCAUAAGAAAAGUUCAGUAUCAACUAGAAGUGAAUCGGUGUAGAAAUGAAGAAAUUAUAGUAUAAGACAAUUUUGGGUGGGUGUGGCCUAUUAUGGGCGGGGCGCCCCAGGGUUGGUAAAGGGGCCAUACAUAGUUGAGAUUGACCGCAUUGUCAUAAGAGAUGUUCAGUAUCAAUUUGAAGUAAAUCGGUGUAGAAAUGAAGUAAUCAUAGUAAAAGGCAAUUUUGGGUGGGCGUGGCCUAUGUUGGCGGGGCGCCCCAGGGUUGAUAAUGGCGCCAUGCAUAGUUGAGAUUGACCGUAUUGUCAUAAGAGAGGUUCAGUAUCAAUUUGAAGUGAAUCGGUGUAGAAAUGAAGAUAUUAUAGUAAAAGGCAAUUUUGGGUGGGCGUGGCCUAUGUGGGCGGGGCGCCCCAGGGUUGGUAAUUGGGCCAUGCAUAGUUGAGAUUAACUGUAUUGUCAUAAGAGAGGUUCAGUAUUAAUUUGAAGUGAAUCGGUGUACAAAUAAAGAAAUUAUAGUAAAAGGCAAUUUUGGGUGGGCGUGGCCUAUGUGGGUGUGGCCUAUUAUGGGCGGGGCGCCCCAGGGUUGGUAAUUGGGCCAUAAAUAGUUGAGAUUGACCGUAUUGUCAUAAGAGAAGUUCAGUAUCAAUUUUAAGUGAAUCGGUGUAGAAAUGAAGAAAUUAUAGUAAAAGACAAUUUUGGGUGGGUGUGGCCUAUUAUGGACGGGGCGCCCCAGGGUUGGUUAUGGGGCCUUUCAUGGUUGAGAUUGACCGUAUUGUCAUAAGAGAUGUUCAGUAUCAAUUUGAAGUAAAUCGGUGUAGAAAUGAAGAAAUUAUAGUAAAAGGCAAUUUUGGGUGGGCGUGGCCUAUGUUGGCGGGGCGCCCCAGGGUUGAUAAUGGCGCCAUGCAUAGUUGAGAUUGACCGUAUUGUCAUAAAAGAGAUUUAGUAUCAGUUUGAAGUGAAUCGGUGUAGAAAUGAAGAUAUCAAAGUAAAAGGCAAUUUUUGGUGGGCGUGGCCUAUGAUGGCGGGGCGCCCCAGGGUUGGUAAUGGGGCCAUGCAUAGUUGAGAUUAACUGUAUUGUCAUAAGAGAGGUUCAUUACUUUGGAGUGAAUCGGUGUAGAAAUGAAGAAAUUAUAGUAAAAGGCAAUUGUGGGUGUGCGUGGCCUAUGUGGGCAGGCCUAUGUGGGCGGGGCGCUCCAGGGUUGGUAAUGGGGCCAUGCAUAGCUGAGAUUGACCGUAUUAUCAUAAGAGAGGUUCAGUAUCAAUUUGAAGUGAAUCGGUUUAGAAAUGAAGAAAUUAUAGUAAAUGGCAAUUUUUGGUGGGCGUGGCCUAUGUGGGCGGGAUGCCCUAGGGUUGGUAAUGGGGCCAUGCAUAGCUGAGAUUGACCGUAUUGUCAUAAGAGAGGUUCAGUAUCAAUUUGAAGUGAAUCGGUGUAGAAAUGAAGAAAUUAUAGUAAAAGGCAAUUUUGGGUGGGCGUGGCCUAUAUGGCCGGGGCGCCCCAGGGUUGGUAAUGGGGCCAUGCAUAGUUGAGAUUGACCUUAUUGUCAUAAGAGAUACUCAAUAUCAAUUUGAAGUAAAUCGGUGCAGAAAUGAAGAAGUUAAUGUAAAAUAACAUACAAAAUGAGUGAAAAUCUCUGACCCCGCCCCGCCGCAACCCCCAUAACUUUUGACCCAGGGGUCAGAUAAAAAUUCCGUCACUGUCACCGUCGCACAUAUGCUCAUAGCUACCAUGUUUGUUAGUUUCAAGGUUCUAGUGCUAAUAGUGUAGGAGGAGCAGGUGGCCAGGACGGACGGACGGACGGACGGACAGACGCACAUCAAUACAAUAUCCCCACUUUUUCUCCGAAAAACGUGGGGAUAAAUAUGUCCAGUCCUUUUUAUAGGAUACAUUUACAUCUGUGAGACGACUCUGGGGAACUUUAACCCACUUAUGUAUUAUACCGCAUGUGCAAUCUAUCUCUUAUAUAUUGCUCAGCUUUGCUCAUGCUCCUUUUUCAUAUUUAAUUUAGAUAUCUGUCAAACAUUUUUUUGGAAAUUCUUUUCUUUUAUCAACCCUCUGACUUUUUCUAGUAGAUGUACGAUUAUAAUUCCUUUUGAACCAUUUUCUGAACGGAAGAUUUUUUAAAUAUAAAACCGUCAUUUUCUGUAUAAACUUACAUUUUUUGCGGUUAUAGUUUUGAUAUGCUCGAGUCUUUGAGUUCACAGCAUUAUUAUCAUUUGUCUGAGGAUUUUUGUCUAAAAUGGAUUGUGCCAAGAAAAACUUCGCUUUUUCCGAUAACGGUUGAUAGUAAAUGUGUAAAAACAGGUAUUCCAUUUCAAUAUUAUAGCCUUUAGGCUAAACGAUAAUGAUAAAGAACCAUUUGAAAACACACGUCGAUUAAAACUUCAAAAAAAAAAUUGACACUAGACAAACUUGCAACUGCUUACAUGUUAAGAAAGUAAAAUAACUUAUAGUAUUUUAGAAUUCUUGUAAUAUUAACAUCUUAAUUUUCAAACGUCAAUUGUUAUUCGUUCUAUCCGCAUGCUAUUCAGCGAUACUCAUGUAUUUUUGUUAAAUUUGUAUAUUUGAUAUAAAGUUAUAAAAACAAGUUGAAAUAGAUAGAUCUAACAAA